RNAcentral lists this ribosomal RNA (1286 nucleotides) under metagenome. RNAcentral describes it as "SSU rRNA". It matches the Rfam family "Eukaryotic small subunit ribosomal RNA", at positions 493 to 1800 of the family's 1831-position model. The record is from RNAcentral.
AAUCGAGGCCCCGUAAUUGGAAUGAGUACACUUUAAAUCCUUUAACGAGGAUCAAUUGGAGGGCAAGUCUGGUGCCAGCAGCCGCGGUAAUUCCAGCUCCAAUAGCGUAUAUUAAAGUUGUUGCAGUUAAAAAGCUCGUAGUUGGAUCUCAGGAUUUGGAUGGAUGGUUCGCUUUCGGGCGCUACUAUCUGUCUGACCUACUCUAGUCGUGGAUGCCUUGGGUGCUCUUAAUUGAGUGCUUUUGGUGCCCGACGCAAUUACUUUGAAAAAAUUAGAGUGCUCAAAGCAGGCGUAUUGCCUGAAUAGUGUUGCAUGGAAUAAUGAAAUAGGAGUUUACUUCUAUUUUGUUGGUUUUCGGAGGUGAACUAAUGAUUAACAGGGACAGACGGGGGCAUUUGUAUGGAGGGGUUAGAGGUGAAAUUCUUGGAUCCUCUCCAGACAAACUACUGCGAAAGCAUUUGCCAGGAAUGUUUUCACUAAUCAAGAACGAAAGUCAGAGGUUCGAAGACGAUCAGAUACCGUCCUAGUUCUGACCAUAAAUGAUGCCAUCUAACAAUCCACGAAGUUUGCUUGUACGAACUCGUGGGCGGUCCCCGGGAAACCAAAGAUUUUGGGUUCCGGGGGAAGUAUGGUUGCAAAGCUGAAACUUAAAGGAAUUGACGGAAGGGCACCACCAGGAGUGGAGCCUGCGGCUUAAUUUGACUCAACACGGGAAACCUCACCCGGCCCGGACACUUUUAGGAUUGACAGAUUGAAGGCUCUUUCUUGAUCAAGUGGUUGGUGGUGCAUGGCCGUUCUUAGUUGGUGGAGCGAUUUGUCUGGUUAAUUCCGAUAACGAACGAGACUCUACUCUGCUAAAUAGAACGUUGAUAUAUAAAAGUCAGUGCUGACUUCUUAGAGAGACUAACGGCGUUUAGCCGUGUGAGAAAGAGCAAUAACAGGUCUGUGAUGCCCUUAGAUGUCCGGGGCCGCACGCGCGCUACACUGACUGCAGCAACUAGUAUGCUCCUGGUUUGAAAAAACUGGGUAACCUGGUUGAAUUGCAGGCGUGACAGGGAUCAGAGUUUGCAAUUAUCCUCUGUGAACGAGGAAUUCCCAGUAAGCGCAAGUCAUUAGCUUGUGCUGAUUACGUCCCUGCCCUUUGUACACACCGCCCGUCGCUACUACCGAUUGAAUGGUUUAGUGAGGUCUUCGGAUUGGUGCUGAUGGAGUGGUUCUCUGCUCUGUUAGUGCCGAGAAGAUGAUCAAACUUGAUCAUUUAGAGGAAGUAAAAGUCGUAACAAGGU